GAGGGAAGAAGAGCUGAGCUGCGUGUGUCCAGUUCCUCCCCCACGCCCACCAGAACACACCCCUGGAUUCUGUGAAGGGGCCACAGCGACUCUAAUAAGGGCCCCUCCAAAAGGAAAGAGGAAUCGGAAAUGGGACCUUAGCGUCUCUGUCCUGUACAGUAUUUCCCAGUUUUUAUUCUUUUAGCCUGUACAACAUCCCAACCAGUCUAUGGCUAGUUGGGGCGCUGCUGUGCAGGGGAUGGAGGUGAGGAGCCUGUCAUGGGAUCCUGGUGGAUCAGAAAUGUUGCUGGAUAAGGAUGUCUGGCUGUCACUGUUAGCUGAUAUGCAGAGACGGGGAUAGGUCCACUGAACUUUAUUUGUCAGAAGGCCAAGAUUCUGGAGAAAGACAAACCAACCAUGAGCUGUGGGUGCUGCUGAAGGAAGGUUCCAUGGGGGAGACCAUGAUAGAGACUGCAAGCUGCCUACAACUGGUGUGUAAUGGCCCUGUGUAGGCUGCCACAAGCCACCAAGGAAAGGGUCACCAGAGCCACCUUGGCUUGAAGCCACGCCAUAGGCCACAUCAGAUGUUUGCAUACUCCAGGUAUAUUUGCCCCACAGAUUCCACUCCUUACCACUCCCAUCUUCCCCAGCUGAGUUCUGAACAAUUCAGAGAAAGGGCAAGAGUAGGCAGAAAUGUAACCAGAGUGUGUAGCUGGAGUGUUACCUGUAUUCCUGCAGUUGGACGUUGGAGGAUGUGUCAUGGGCGUGCGGAAGACAGUUUCCUGGCUGUGAAUGCCAGAGUCAGGCAGGCUCCCACAUCCAGGUCUGGGCAAUGUGGGGCUGUAUAGGCUUCUCUAUGUGGGCACUGGCCCUGGAGAAUUCGGGGAAGCCUGCGGCUGCUUGCUUCCUGUUCAUGACCUGGCCCCUAAGAGAAAGAACAGGAGCCCGGGACCAACCCCUGCAAACUCAGCUCCUUUGUGAAACUCAAGGUAAGGUCCUGAUGCCUCCUCCCUUGAGAGUGAGGGUUUGGAGUGUCCUCAUGAAGGAGGAGCAAGAACCAAGUGUUACCUCCCACAAAACAAACAAUUCUGGUAAUUUCUAUCAAUUGUACUACAACUUGUAUUGUUACUGUUGUGUUCAGUUCUUUAGGGGGUAGUUGGGCUGUGGUCAUAGUUGAGUACCACUGGGCUACCUCCAUGGGCGCCAGGCCCCAGAGGGCAGGUCCAGAGUCUUUUUUUUUCUUUCUGAGACAGUCUCACUCUGUCAUC
This is a long non-coding RNA of Otolemur garnettii (small-eared galago), 1247 nucleotides long. RefSeq lists it as uncharacterized. The record is from RefSeq and is a predicted model, not a curated record. NCBI's taxonomy places the organism in Eukaryota, Metazoa, Chordata, Mammalia, Primates, Galagidae. The transcript is spliced from 3 exons.